Molecule: ribosomal RNA, 433 nt
Filed under: uncultured bacterium
Lineage: Bacteria
Description: partial 16S ribosomal RNA
Rfam family: Bacterial small subunit ribosomal RNA
Source: RNAcentral
AACGAGCGCUGGCGGCAUGCCUAACACAUGCAAGUCGAACGAGACCUUCGGGUCUAGUGGCGCACGGGUGCGUAACGCGUGGGAACCUGCCCUUAGGUUCGGAAUAACUCCCCGAAAGGGGUACUAAUACCGGAUAAUGUCUUCGGACCAAAGAUUUAUCGCCUUUGGAUGGGCCCGCGUUGGAUUAGCUAGUUGGUAGGGUAAAAGCCUACCAAGGCGACGAUCCAUAGCUGGUCUGAGAGGAUGAUCAGCCACACUGGGACUGAGACACGGCCCAGACUCCUACGGGAGGCAGCAGUGGGGAAUAUUGGACAAUGGGCGAAAGCCUGAUCCAGCAAUGCCGCGUGAGUGAUGAAGGCCUUAGGGUUGUAAAGCUCUUUUACCCGGGAUGAUAAUGACAGUACCGGGAGAAUAAGCUCCGGCUAACUCCGUG